AGUGAACGCUGGCGGUAGGCCUAACACAUGCAAGUCGAACGGCAGCACAGUAAGAGCUUGCUCUUACGGGUGGCGAGUGGCGGACGGGUGAGGAAUACAUCGGAAUCUACUUUUUCGUGGGGGAUAACGUAGGGAAACUUACGCUAAUACCGCAUACGACCUACGGGUGAAAGCAGGGGAUCUUCGGACCUUGCGCGAUUGAAUUAGCCGAUGUCGGAUUAGCUAGUUGGCGGGGUAAAGGCCCACCAAGGCGACGAUCCGUAGCUGGUCUGAGAGGAUGAUCAGCCACACUGGAACUGAGACACGGUCCAGACUCCUACGGGAGGCAGCAGUGGGGAAUAUUGGACAAUGGGCGCAAGCCUGAUCCAGCCAUACCGCGUGGGUGAAGAAGGCCUUCGGGUUGUAAAGCCCUUAUGUUGGGAAAGAAAAGCAGCAGGUUAAUACCCCGCUGUUCUGACGGUACCCAAAGAAUAAGCACCGGCUAACUUCGUG
Molecule: ribosomal RNA, 492 nt
Filed under: uncultured bacterium
Lineage: Bacteria
Description: partial 16S ribosomal RNA
Rfam family: Bacterial small subunit ribosomal RNA
Source: RNAcentral